Budorcas taxicolor (takin) is the source of this 251-nucleotide long non-coding RNA. RefSeq lists it as uncharacterized. The transcript has 3 exons. Lineage: Eukaryota; Metazoa; Chordata; Mammalia; Artiodactyla; Bovidae. The record is from RefSeq and is a predicted model, not a curated record.
UCUUGUUACCAUGAGAAGUAAAGACAACCUUGAGGACCUAGAGACCUAGAGCACAGUGUUUUAGGAUCAGAAAGGCAGAAGGCAACUGGAGGAGCAGAGGAAGGAAAUCUAGACCGCGCCAAAGAAUGAUGGAGUGACACUUCUUUGGGCUCAUCAUCCAUGGUGGCCAAUGAGGACUGGGAGUAUGGUUUGGCUGAACAGGCAUGCAAUUUUCUAUCAAGUCAAUUUAUGCUGUGAAGUGGCUCAAAACG